UCCCUGGCAGUCUAGUGGUUAGGACUCUGCACUCCUAAUGCAGGGGGCAUGGGUUUGACCCCAGGUUCAAUCCCUGGUUGGGGAA
Mesoplodon densirostris (Blainville's beaked whale) is the source of this 85-nucleotide non-coding RNA. Lineage: Eukaryota; Metazoa; Chordata; Mammalia; Artiodactyla; Ziphiidae. The record is from the annotation of a RefSeq genome assembly.